GAAAGUGAAAUGAAAAACAGGAAUUUAGUUCUUGUGAGUUAAGAGGAUGCAGAGCAUAGGGUUAGAUGGAGGUGGAUCAUUCACUGUGGUGAUCCCUGAAGGAAACAGCCAAGAGAAAAAGGAUCAGAUUGCAAAAAAAAAUGUGGUUUGUUUGCAUACAUGAGUCUUUACGGUACCCACAGGACUCCUGAAGUAUAAGUACUCUGAAGUUUGCAGAGCAAUUUCAGAGAUGUUUGGGGCUUACAUGGCAAGCAUGUUUUUAGUUGCACAUCUAAAUUUUCUCUGCUCUCUGUUGCUGAUGGCAGAGUUCUGCCCCGCUGACCUCACAGGUGAGACACUCCCACCAGUGGACAAAGAGCACAGGAAAAUGUGUUGCCAACCACCUGAAACAGACAAAUAUCUGCUUUUUAAAACCCUUUAAACCCGUUAAAUGGACUGAUGCCAUUCAUUUCUUCUUUGAUUAACAGUAGUAACAUCCUUCAUGCACUGUAUACUAACCCAUAUGAUAAUCAUGCUUUAUGAAGUGAUGGCAAUUGCAUUGUAGCAUUUAAUGAAGAAAUAACAAAAUAAUCAUACCAAUGAUUAAGCACCAGUCUUCUUUUUUCUGUGUCUGUGUGUGUGUGUGUGUGUGUGUGUGUGUGUGUGUGUGUGUGUGUGUGUGUGUGUGUGUGUGUGUGUGUGUGUGUGUGAGAUACAGGUAAAUGCUGAAUUCCAGUGUAUUACAACACUUCAACUGGAGAUGACCUUCGCGGCACAGUUAGACAGAAUUACACCUCAGUUGAUGACAGUUUUCCAGAAGAAGGGCGGUGUUUCUGGGCAGAAACUUGCCCACCACUUGCAGAUCAUGCAAGAGGACAUUGAAGGAGAUGAUAUCUAGAGAGACCUGAAGAAGCACACCAUGGGCAUUUAUGUCAUCAACAGGGAGGAUGGACAAAAUGGACAUUAUGAUGACAUUGGAAUAUUUGUUGAAGGGGAGAUAGUCAUGGACAACAUUGGAUCUCUGGCCCAAGCUUGUGCAUUGAUGCUUGGAGUAAUCUAUGCACUAAACCUAGCCUUCCCCAAGGAAUUGAAGGACUAUUAUGAAUUCAUUUAGCAAGUGUUGAUGGGAUUCGAUGGUGAAAAGCUCUCCCCCAAAGUCUUUGGGCUGAAGAGCAAAAUUGCUACUGGAUAGGAAGAUUUCUAAAAUAACACAUCAAGAGAAUGCUGUUAUGUAAAUUACCAAUGACUGGUGCUCUUGUGAAUAGGAGUGAAACUCUUGUACAACCAUCAUUUGUUCUGUGUUAUGUUUCGAUUGAACAUUUUAACUUUCAAUAAUGAAUGUUUCACGUGUGGUACAUUUGAGUAGCUUGAAGAGCAACUUUGUAAUUAUUCAGUUAUAGCUGCUGCCCUGCGUAUAAUCAGUGUUAACUCAACCGGAUAAAAAAAACAAAAAAAACCAUUCAUGAUUACCACACUGCAGCACACUGGUAACACUUUAAAGACUAUUAAUUGUUUUGAAGCGAGUAUGUUAGGUCAGAAAAUAUGUAAAACAUUCAGAAUCUUCAAGGAAGGACUAGAAUGGAAAGACAGUGGUCAAUAAGCAGUAAGGAAAACACAAGUUUAAUUUUAAGUCUAAUUACCUUAUUAAAAUGCAAUUUCUAAAUAUGGAUCGCAGAACAGCAAGUCUGAAACUGGUUAGUUUGUGGAUGCAUCAGUUUCUAAUUGUGAUACAUUAUACUGCUGGUAGUGUUUUAUUCUUUUAUGUAAGGAGUUUGUUUGUUUUUUUCUUUUUUAGAGGAAGAGAAACAUUGGUUAACAUUUCUCUUGUCUGUUGUUUCUGUUUUGUUUGAAUACAGCUUUUUAAAGCUACUAGUUCAUAGGCAAAAGUUUUGUAAUUUGUAUUAUACAAAUUGCAGCAAUUUCCCUUAGAGAUGUGGAUUCUUAUUCUGUUUGCA
Astatotilapia calliptera (eastern happy) is the source of this 1934-nucleotide long non-coding RNA. Lineage: Eukaryota; Metazoa; Chordata; Actinopteri; Cichliformes; Cichlidae. The record is from Ensembl.